GCUGUGGCUUAGUUGGUUAAAGCCUGUCUAGUAAACAGGGAGAUCCUGGGUUCAAAUCCCAGCGAAGCG
This 69-nucleotide transfer RNA is filed under the name Perca fluviatilis (European perch). Its description in RNAcentral is "tRNA-Thr". The stretch from base 3 to 64 matches the Rfam family "tRNA", at positions 6 to 65 of the family's 71-position model. From Rfam's summary of the family: Transfer RNA (tRNA) molecules are approximately 80 nucleotides in length. Their secondary structure includes four short double-helical elements and three loops (D, anti-codon, and T loops). The record is from RNAcentral. Lineage: Eukaryota; Metazoa; Chordata; Actinopteri; Perciformes; Percidae.